This 512-nucleotide ribosomal RNA is filed under the name Candida tropicalis. Its description in RNAcentral is "LSU rRNA". It matches the Rfam family "Eukaryotic large subunit ribosomal RNA", at positions 98 to 626 of the family's 3401-position model. The record is from RNAcentral. Lineage: Eukaryota; Fungi; Ascomycota; Pichiomycetes; Serinales; Debaryomycetaceae.
GCGGCAAAAGCUCAAAUUUGAAAUCUGGCUCUUUCAGAGUCCGAGUUGUAAUUUGAAGAAGGUAUCUUUGGGUCUGGCUCUUGUCUAUGUUUCUUGGAACAGAACGUCACAGAGGGUGAGAAUCCCGUGCGAUGAGAUGAUCCAGGCCUAUGUAAAGUUCCUUCGAAGAGUCGAGUUGUUUGGGAAUGCAGCUCUAAGUGGGUGGUAAAUUCCAUCUAAAGCUAAAUAUUGGCGAGAGACCGAUAGCGAACAAGUACAGUGAUGGAAAGAUGAAAAGAACUUUGAAAAGAGAGUGAAAAAGUACGUGAAAUUGUUGAAAGGGAAGGGCUUGAGAUCAGACUUGGUAUUUUGUAUGUUACUUCUUCGGGGGUGGCCUCUACAGUUUAUCGGGCCAGCAUCAGUUUGGGCGGUAGGAGAAUUGCGUUGGAAUGUGGCACGGCUUCGGUUGUGUGUUAUAGCCUUCGUCGAUACUGCCAGCCUAGACUGAGGACUGCGGUUUAUACCUAGGAUGU